Molecule: long non-coding RNA, 2157 nt
Filed under: Vigna radiata
Lineage: Eukaryota; Viridiplantae; Streptophyta; Magnoliopsida; Fabales; Fabaceae
Description: long non-coding RNA (VRAD_LNC016062)
Source: RNAcentral
GGGCUAGGAGUGAUAUACACAAUCCAGCAGCUUCUUAGGAGGUGCAUCCAGCGGUCCAACAACAUCUUCUUAGGUGCAGCAGCUUGAAAAAAACACACGGCCCAGCAAAACAUUUUCUACACAAGUCCAGCAGCUCUAAUGCAGCGUAAGGGCUUCAUUUUGGAAGGGAAUCAUCUUCAUUUAAGAGCAGCCGCCACCCACAUGGAAGGUGGGAUACAUUCAGCUUCUUGAGAGGAAGCACACGCACUUGGAGGAUGGAAGGCUACGGGUGAAGGGCACGCAACAGCCACCACAUUUUUCUUUCUUAGCUUUGCUUUGAACAUUUUCUGGAUGGAGAACCUUUUUGAACAUUAACGCUGUUUGCAUUUUUUUUAUGAAUGAUAGAAGCAAAUUUUCAUUUUCGUUUGAAGUAUCUCAUUUCAUCUAGCAUUAGGGGUGCACGGUGUUUUGGUGGUGCAGCAGCUCACGUAGCUAUUUUAAUUUCUGAAAACAAAAAACGUUGAUUCAGAAUUUUAUUCCAGCAAUGACGUUUUGCUUUAGGAUGCACAGGCGGUGAUUGAUAUUGGAAGUACACAGCUCAAGGAAGUGGCAACUUUUCAUUCAGCUUUUAGAGAAAAAGAUAUAUGCGUUGGUUCUUGAAGCAUUUGCAAUUUCAAUGUCCUUUUGGUAGGUGCUAUGUGUCAUGUGAAUUGGUAGAAGAAAAAAUUAGGUUUCUUAUUUAUUUUGCUUUAGAAUAUUUUACAUUAUAUGUUGACUAGUUUUUCAUCUUCUUGAUUUAGUGUUGCAUUUUAAUCUUCGCUUAGUUGAUUAGACUGUAUGGUGCAUGACUGAUUGGAUUUGAGCAUUGCGUUCGCUUAGUUUGCAAUUCUGAAAACCGAAUUAGCCUUCGCUUAAUUGGGUGAUUCGUGUUGGAUUUGGAUUAGAGUAGUGUGUACUUGUCAAUAAUCUAUGAUUGGAAGCAUAGUGAUUGAGUUAAUGACCAACCAUUUUUAUUCUGUAUUUGAUUUUGUUUUGCAUUUCUGUUUUUACAUUUCUGUUUGCAUCUGUGUUUCAAUUUAAUUCAUCUGCAUUCACAAAACCUUUUACAAACCCCCCACUUCGUGUCUGACCUAAUUCUCGAACCACAUUUGGUCCUUGAGAGACAACCUAGGAGUCACUUCCUAGUCUAUACUACAUUCUUUAUGCACAUUAAAUUUGCAUGGGGUGCGACACCCAUCACAUCCUCUUGGUGUUGAAACUGAGCCAUCUUGUUUCUAGCACUAUGGUUUGUCAAAUUAAGUGGGUGUUUUAAAAUGAAAAGAAAAAUUUGAUAAUUUUUUUUUCUCUUUCUUCCUUAAGGUGUCAAUUUUAGUAGAAUUUUUUUUUAUUUAAGUUACUCAAUAAGGAGGAGCAUUUCUUUACACUCUUUUUAUUUAUUUGUUAUUAUUUCUAAAUUUAUUGUAUUUACUAUAUUUUGAAUUAUGCCUCAUGUUUCCCUUUUAAUAAAAACUAUGAUAACUAUCAUUUAUUUGUUUUGCCUUAUUUUUUUAUGGCUUAUAUUAAGGGGGGAGUUCUCUAAGGGGGAGUAUUUUAUAUACAUAACUCUUUUUAAUAAUGAUAAAAAAGGGAGAGGAAUAUGUUUAAGGGCUUAAUAAUAUUUAUCUCUUGUCUACUAAUCUCUUUUCUUUAAGUUAUGUAUGAGUUACAGAUUAGUAUAGGUUAUCAAAAGCUUUUACAUCAAAGAGUUUUUUAUCAUCAUAAAAAAGGGGGAGAUUGUUAGCAUAAAGUUGAAGAGAAGAAAUUUUGAUGAUGUCUCAAUGUUAAGUCUCAAGUGCUCCUAUUCCAGGAAGAUCUUCAUGAAGACUUAUUUUUUUUAUUAAAGCUUAUAUAUUUUGGUAGAUUGAUGUAUAGGAUGUGGUUUAUGUUUGAUUAUGUGUAUUGUGUUCCUUAAGGUGCGUUAAAAUUUGUUUUGAAUUAGAAAACCUCAUUUUAUACUCAAGCAGAAAAUGAGACGAACCCUGUGCAUCGUGAUGUCAGAGAUGUAAGAGCAAGGUUGGAUGUUGGCAUGCGUGAAUGUCAUCCAGUAUUAUGCCAAAGGUAUCAUAUCCAACCUCCUAAUGUUAACCGCCGCUCCACUAGAGUUAGUCUGAAAAUGCCUUCCAGGGAGGCACGUAACCC